UCUAGGCUGCAUGGGACAAGGACAAGGGACUUUAGAGAAAUAAGACAUUUCAUCGAGACCUCAAAUUCGAUUUACAUUUUGCAGAUGAGGAAACUAUGGCACAGAGAAGUUGAGGAACUUCCCUGAGAUCACACAGCCUGCCCUCUCCCAUAUGAUGAUGAAAACUGAGCCGGGUUCCUGCAGAAGCUGUCCCUGGCUCUGAGUCCUGCCGUGUGCCUUGUUCACUCCACUGCCUGUGAAUUUUCCAACCAAGAACAACACAAAGGCCUCAGCCUUUCAAGGAGCCCUUGGGGUGUUUGAGGUCAUCUGCGGGUGUAUACUGAUCAUUUCUUACGCCUCUGGAAAGGUCCCGGGCUGCACCCUGACCCUCUCCACCCAGAUCCAUGGACGCACGCCUCGUUUAUUCACCGUUCCCCACCGCCGUAGAUCAGCACUCUCCCAGGGACGGACCUGGGUUUCAUCUCUCUAUCCCCCAUACGCAGCUCCUGUUUGCUUGUUUGUUGUUUGAAUAAAUGCUGCCUGCUCGGAUUUAUGGGAGGAUCAAGUUGCUCCUGGGAAGGAGAUCAAUGUAUAAUCUGUAUUUCCCAUUUCUGGUGUGAGAACCUAGAAGCUCCCUGACUAUCGUCCUCUUAACAAAUGGGGCUCACAGGGUGCCCUCUGUCUGGCAGAGCUUGCACUUCAAACCAAGGCUUCCUUUGUUUAGGCUUAAAAUCUCAAAUUCGUGUGUUCUGUCCCCUGCAAACUCCUAGGUGGGGUAAAAGGUCAUGACUCUGAGGUUCCCGGCUGAGCUCGCAGCUGUUUUCCGUGUUUCCCUCUCAUCUGUUUCAGAGCAGGAUGAGGUUCCUGCCUGCAGUGGGAAACUGACUCGGAACACCCAGGAUGCCCCGCAGCUCGGCCUUCAGCUGUUGUUAGAGCACAGCAGGUUGACGCAGUGCGGUUCUGGAGGAUGGAGUUUUUAUCGUGAUCCCAUAUGGACUGAGGAAGUGUGUGCAGUUGGGGACAGCCAGGCCUAAGAGCGGAGAAGUCCUGCCUUCCAGGCCCACACUGGACAGAGCAUUUGACCUGCUGGGCCUCAGUUUCCCCAUGUGUACUUUGGGGAUAAUGAUUCCUAGGCUGAGUCCUGCAGGACCUGUCUGGAGGAUCACAUUAGACAGUGAAUGCAUUUUUUAAAAAACUCUGGAAGAUACAGUGAAGCUGAGGUCUUAUGGCUGUUGCCUCACGGACUUGUGACAUGUAUUUGUCUUCCUCCUAAUGAGGUUGUCAUGACACUCUGCCCACCCCUGACUGAUCCCUGUUGAUUCCCACAGGAGCCCAGGAAUUCCUCUGGGAGCUUAUGCUGGUUUGAAUGGAGUCUCUCCCAACCGGACUGUCAACUCGUGUGUGACAGACGAUUCUUCAAAGUAAAACGAUGGUGUCUAAGGGACUCCAAGACAGGACAAGGAAGACUGGAGCUCUCCAGAAACAGAUGGGCCCAGGUCCGUAAGCUGAGGAUUCAGCCCCCUCCAUCCUGGCCCAGCAUAUGCCUGCCCAGCCAGAUGCUCCAUGAACACAGUUGAGGGGGUCCGGAGAGAGCACUGUGACCUGGAGCCCACACACGGCCUCAGCAGGCAAAGGAAGACCCAGAGACAACAUGGGAGGGGUUUGCAGUCACACACGCAGGCAGGGACCAGCUCAACCCUUCUUUAAUGUCAUUCAGGGAGGGGGCCAGGG
Macaca mulatta (Rhesus monkey) is the source of this 1710-nucleotide non-coding RNA. The record is from RefSeq and is a predicted model, not a curated record. Lineage: Eukaryota; Metazoa; Chordata; Mammalia; Primates; Cercopithecidae.